This 587-nucleotide ribosomal RNA is filed under the name Inocutis dryophila. RNAcentral's name for it is "eukaryotic LSU rRNA". It matches the Rfam family "Eukaryotic large subunit ribosomal RNA", at positions 60 to 618 of the family's 3401-position model. The record is from RNAcentral. Lineage: Eukaryota; Fungi; Basidiomycota; Agaricomycetes; Hymenochaetales; Hymenochaetaceae.
AGAAACUAACAAGGAUUCCCCUAGUAACUGCGAGUGAAGCGGGAAGAGCUCAAAUUUAAAAUCUGGCGGUCUCUGGCCGUCCGAGUUGUAACCUGGAGGAGGCUUUUCCGUGUCGGACCGUGUACAAGUCUCCUGGAAUGGAGCGUCAUAGAGGGUGAGAAUCCCGUCCAUGACACGGACGCCCGAUGCUUUGUGAUAGUCUCCCGAAGAGUCGCGUUGUUUGGGAAUGCAGCGCAAAAUGGGUGGUAAAUUCCAUCUAAAGCUAAAUAUUGGCGAGAGACCGAUAGCGAACAAGUACCGUGAGGGAAAGAUGAAAAGCACUUUGGAAAGAGAGUUAAACAGUACGUGAAAUUGUUGAAAGGGAAACGCUUGAAGUCAGUCGCGUCCCGGGGAACUCAGCCUGGCCUCGGCCUGGUGUACUUUCCUCGGGACGGGUCAACAUCAGUUUCGGGCGGUGGAUAAAGGCGAGGGGAAUGUAGCGUUGUUUCGGCGACGUGUUAUAGCCCCUUGUUGUAUACACCGUCGGGGACUGAGGACCGCAGCACGCCCUUGUGGCCGGGGGUUCGCCCCACGUACCGUGCUUAGGA